GUUAGUGGAAGCUCAUUGUAGAGUACCCUUGCAGUGGGUAACCACAACCUGGUGAGUGGGUGCACAGAAAAUAGAAGAAGAAGCUGCUUGAUGAACUUCAGCUCAAAUGGUGGAUGUGAACUCAGUGGUUUGGAAACGCCCACGGCUGGCAGAUGAGUCCAAUGGAUGAGGUGGAGCACAGCUUCAGAACCCAAUUCAGACUACGCUCCCCCCAC
This is a ribozyme of Gadus morhua (Atlantic cod), 215 nucleotides long. It matches the Rfam family "Nuclear RNase P". Rfam says of the family: Ribonuclease P (RNase P) is a ubiquitous endoribonuclease, found in archaea, bacteria and eukarya as well as chloroplasts and mitochondria. Lineage: Eukaryota; Metazoa; Chordata; Actinopteri; Gadiformes; Gadidae. The record is from Ensembl.